RNAcentral lists this ribosomal RNA (497 nucleotides) under uncultured bacterium. RNAcentral describes it as "partial 16S ribosomal RNA". It matches the Rfam family "Bacterial small subunit ribosomal RNA", at positions 28 to 507 of the family's 1533-position model. The record is from RNAcentral.
GAUGAACGCUGGCGGCGUGCCUAAUACAUGCAAGUCGAGCGAACGGACGAGAAGCUUGCUUCUCUGAUGUUAGCGGCGGACGGGUGAGUAACACGUGGAUAACCUACCUAUAAGACUGGGAUAACUUCGGGAAACCGGAGCUAAUACCGGAUGAGAUUUUGAACCGCAUGGUUCAAAAGUGAAAGACGGUCUUGCUGUCACGUAUAGAGGGAUCCGCGCUGCAUUAGCUAGUUGGUAAGGUAACGGCUUACCAAGGCAACGAUGCAUAGCCGACCUGAGGGGGUGGUCGGCCACAUUGGAACUGAGACACGGUCCAGACUCCUACGGGAGGCAGCAGUAGGGAAUCUUCCGCAGUGGGCGAAAGCCUGACGGAGCGACGCCGCGUGAGUGAUGAAGGUCUUCGGAUCGUAAAACUCUGUUAUUAGGGAAGAACAUAUGUGUAAGUAACUGUGCACAUCUUGACGGUACCUAAUCAGAAAGCCCCGGCUAACUACGUG